UACGUAGGGGGCAAGCGUUGUCCGGAUUUACUGGGCGUAAAGAGCGUGUAGGCGGCCACGCAGGUCCGUUGUGAAAACUGGAGGCUCAACUUCCAGCCGUCGACGGAAACCGUGUGGCUAGAGUCCGGAAGAGGAGAGUGGAAUUCCUGGUGUAGCGGUGAAAUGCGCAGAUAUCAGGAAGAACACCCGUGGCGAAGGCGGCUCUCUGGGACGCGACUGACGCUGAGACGCGAAAGCGUGGGGAGCGAACAGG
RNAcentral lists this ribosomal RNA (253 nucleotides) under uncultured bacterium. Its description in RNAcentral is "partial 16S ribosomal RNA". It matches the Rfam family "Bacterial small subunit ribosomal RNA", at positions 524 to 776 of the family's 1533-position model. The record is from RNAcentral.